CUUUUCUUGGGACACCAUAGCUUUUACAGGAGGCUGGCUUUGGGGAGCUUUCCCAGUGAAACCCGGAAGCUGCGCCGUUGUGGUUCUCAUCUCAUCUUAGCUGUCAGACAGUUGGGUAAAUUAUUCUUAAAUAAAAUGUUCUGAAUGUUGCUGUAUACAAAUGAAUCACUAAGCCAUGAGCACACUAAGACAGCAAGCUGAUGGAGUGAGGACUACAGGUUCUCUAAUGCUUUCAGCUCUUGAAUGCUGGAGAUUUUACAGGUAAGCCAGCAAACACUCUAACAUGAUCCUCAGCAGACAGAACAGAUGAACAAUAUAGGAAACCGAGACCCUGAAAUUGCCUACCCCCUGCUGUGCACAGCAUAUAUUGCCAACAGAGCUGACUUGGCAGACUCACCUUGGGAGAAAUACUGGUUUCUGUGCCAGAUGUUCUCGAAGUUCUGGAGAAGUAGUAUCAGAACUCAUAUAUCGUUCCACAUAGUCUGACCAACGCUAGGAAUAGAAUCAUAGACGAUCAUGAAAACAGCUAUCUAUACCCAUAUAUCACGAGUCUAAUCUAUCACCAAAAUGUCCAAAGACUACAGAUUUUAAGAACAAAUAGUCUACUGUGGUAGCAUAUAAAAGUAAUUCUAGCACCUGUGAAACUAAGCCAAAAAAAAAAAAAAAAAAAAAGGGGAUCCCCAGGUUAUAGCCCAGUGGUAAGUAAAGUGGUUGCCUAAUUUGAUGCCCACAGUGCAAAACUAAGAAGUAAUGGGGUUGGGGAUUUAGCUCAGUGGUAAAGCGCUUGCCUAGCAAGCGCAAGGCCCUGGGUUCGGUCCCCAGCUCCGAAAAAAAGAAAAGGGAAAAAAAAAAAAAAAAAAAGGUAAUGGCCCUUACAUGAAAGAUUUGUUAUCAAAAUAUAUGUCUCAGUAGUUAAGAGCACUGGCUGCUCUUUAGAGGACUCCAGUUCUGUUCCUAGCACCCAUAAUGCCUCACACGUAUGUACCCACCCACUCACACACACCCUAGUCCACCAGAAUUCAGGGUGACCAGGCAAGCUCUGAAAUGCACUGUCCAUACCUCUGCUUCUACAGGGUCAUCUGAGUUCUCCUCUUCUGUGUCCAGGAGCUCAAUGGUCAGCUGAACUUGACCUUGACUUUGAAUGAACAUUAGCUGCAAAACAGAAGCAGUGUAAACAAAAACAAGCAAAAAACCCCCAAAUUUUCAAGGUUAUAAACCUACAUUGUCAUUGAACGUAGAAAAGUAAAUUAUAUAAUUUUGUUCCAAAGGAUGAGAUACAGAGUACUGAAAGCUGGUGAUUACAGUGGGACUGCAGAGAUGGCUGCAAGCUCUGGCUGCUCUUCUUGAGGACCUGGGUUUGAUUCCCAGAACCCACAUGGUCUAGUUCAAUUCCAGAGGACAGAACAGAGGCUUCUGGCCUCUCGGGGGCAUUCCAUGCAGGUAAUACACAAACACAUAAAGACAAAGCCUCCCUACACAUAAAAAUAAAACCUAGAGAAAAAUCAAGUUAGUAAAUGUUUGCUAGUAAAUAAAUGAUUGCUCAGACCCAGCCUGUGUACAUUUAUAGUCCAGCCACGUAACUGUAGCUCUCACCCCCUAUCAAAGAAGCUUCUUUUUGAAGCAGAUAGAAAGUACUACAAAGAUUCACAACUGGUGAAACUGCAGGGAAAUAACCAACAAUGGGGUGUCUGAUUCCAACUGAUUAUCUGUAAUGCAACCCCUAAGCUUAAAGGUCAAGAAAAAGGAAGAAGAGUCACAAAGAUUGUAAGAGCGAGAAGACCAGGGCAGGUAUCUUCUGGAUACCAUCAGGAAUAUCACACCCAUGAAAUCUCAUCGAUAAGGUUACCUAAACAAAACCCGCACAAUGACAUCAGCUGGUACUCCAAUAUAGGUGGGGACAUUUUCACAAAGGCCCAACAAAAGGCAAAGAGCUACAGUUAAUUGGUGGCUGUUGCGAGAGGAAGAAUCUAUUUUCCCCAGUGACAAGCACCUUGAAAGGUUAUCCCAGGUGAUCAGUUCUAAAUAUAUGUGGCAAUAUCAAAUGGAUUCAGCGGGUUGUAUACAUAUGUGACAGUGAAAAUUAAGGAAGAGGCCAUGGAUCUGAGCCUGAGUGGGAAGAGAACACUGGAGAAACUGGAAGGGAGAAGGAAAGAAGGGGAUGAUGUAAACAUAGUAUUCAUGUAUGAAAUUCUCAAACAUUAAAAACAAAAUUUUUUUUAAAAAAAGCAUGUUAAUGAAUGGUGUGUUGGGCUCGUGGGAUGCUCACUGGGUAAAAGUGCUUGCUUACUGACAAUUAAGUCCUAGCUUAACUCCUUAAAGCCACACUGUAGAAGAGACCUGGCUCCUGCAGUUGCCCUUAACCUCCACAAGCCAAUCUAUAUAUACACAUCCACACGUGUACACCUACACACAGACACAGACACACACACAGAGUCUUUAAAGGGCUCUAUUGAGGUAGUAUGGUGGUACAUGCCUGUAAUUCCAGCACAAAGGAGGCUGAGGCAGCAGGACUACCUCAAUAGUGUGACCUACAUACAAGUGGAUACAUAAAUAAACGAAAAUUGUUAUAAUGGUGCCAAUCAUGUUUGAAUUGAAAUUACUAAAUUGGUAGUAGGCACAUGGCUGUAAACACUCAUGUAUAGAAGCGCCAUUAAUAAAGGCAGUCACAAGCCUUAUUUUAUAGAAAGCUGUCAGCAGAUCUCCUUCUCUGGAACCUUGGCUCUCUGAAUGUCCUGACUCAAAAGUUUACUGCAGAUACAAAAAUUACAUGGGAAAAAUGAGCUUACAAGUAAACAUAAAAAUUGGCCACAGUAGCACACUGCUCUAAUUCUAGAAAUGAUGGACACAAGAAGAUCAGAGGCUGAAAUAAGGACAUCAUCUGUGACAUCAAAGUUUAAGGACAACUUCAGCUAAAUCUGACUAGCUCUAAAAAAAUUAUAAAAUAAACUCCUUUUCAACUUUCUUCAAUUACACAGGGAGAAACUACAAUCCAGAGCACUGGGAAAGGCCAUGCUAUAAAUCAGGCAGCGAGACAGAGGUAAGACUGGUUUGCAGGAUGUUUUUAGAGAGGCCGUUAAAACCUCAAGCUUAAAACCUAGCAAAAAUAAUAGUUAACCUAAAAUAAAUCAGAGGGAAAUAAGCAAAGCUAUUAAGAACAGUAAGACAUGUUAUAUUAUAUACUUUAAAUCCAAACCUCCUAGGUUUGGCCUCUAAUUUAUGGCAAACCUCCUACUCCAGGUUUCCAGAGUACCAUAACAGGCUGUUAUGUAGAUCACCAGGCUGGCCUUGAACUCACAGAAAUCCAUCUACCUCUGCCUUCUGACUGUUGGGAUUAAAGGUGUACCCUCCACUAUGGCUGACUUACUCUGUACUUAAUUUUUAAGAAUUAUAAAAUAGUGGUCAUCCAGUACUCAAAAGAGGCUGCAGAUUAAUUUUAUACUAUAUUAGAAAUGUGGGUUUCCAAUUAUUAUUUUUUCCAGUUAGCUGUUACAAUGGCAAUAAAAACUACCUGAUAUAUCCAAUAUUAUAGGUAUUUCUUUUAUGGGGUAGGGUGAGGUAAUAGGAUCUCAUGUAAAGAGGGCAACUUUGAACUUCUGAUCUUCCCAACAUAAUAUCAAGUGUUAGGAUUAUAGAUAUGUGAUGGGAACAAGUCAGGGUUCAUUAUGCUACCCAAGUGCUCUCCGACUAAGCCAUAUUCUAGUGAAAUACAGCCAAAUGAGGUGGUGUUAUCUACAAGGUAAUGCUGGCAUUCUGAUAAGAUCUGUAAGAACAGCCUAUGUUACACAGCUAGACACUGUCUGAUGUAAAAAUGAUAUUAAUGACCCUGGGGAAUGAAUAGUUACCCAGCUCUUUCAAUACAUACAUUUUCAAGGGGCUAAAGAGACUACUCAGAGGUUGGGAACAUCUGCUGCUCUUGCAAAGGACCCAAUGGCCAUCCAUGGAUCCAGUUCCAGAGGAUCCAAUGCCACCUCCUGACCUCAGGGAGACCCAUGCACACACAUAGUGCACACACAUACAUGCAGGCAAACACUCAUACACAUAAAAUAAAAUGUACAUCCAAAGCCUAGAAAUAUUAUGUGUUUAUUUCUAAAAGAACAAAAAACAAAAACAAAAAAAACCCUCUAAAUGGUUUUUCUUUAUUUGUGCCCUCACUUUACUAUGCUUUUAACAAUGAUCACAUAUUUUACAUAUAAACAUUUUUCAAGAAAAUGUUUACAAAGCAUUGUUUUAUUAAAAGCUGAGAAUGUAAGAAAGUUUGUUUUUUUGUUUAUUUUCUUAAAAUGUAAUAAAGGUAACUAACUGGGCAGACAGGUUGGUUGGUAAAGUGCUCGCUGCCAAAGAAGCCUGGGGACUGGAUUCGAUUACUAGUAAAACUCUGGCUCAUAAUCACAGAGCUGGAAAGACAAUCAGCCCACUCAAGCCAAAAAACAGUGAGGGGACUAGGAGAACAGACCCCCAUGGUGUAUAUACCUCCUGAAUGAAGCAGACCAUUACAAAGUGUUCUCUGACCUCCACGUGCACACACACUCAAACAUGUACUGAAAACACACAUGAACAGCAGCAGCAGCAGCAGCACUGAGAGGUUCGUGAUUGGCUGAGCGACUCUCACCUUAAAGCAAUUCUCAUCCGACAUGAGCUGCUCUGCUUUCCGCUGGUAUGUCGACUCCAGAAGGCUCCUCGAUGUCUGACUGCUCAGCUGGCCUCCAGUGGCUCCGUUGUUGUUUUCCGCCAAGUAAAGGUCAGUAACCUGCACACAGACCUCGUCGCUGACAAUAUGCUGCAGCUGCAACAGAGCACAGGCCAGCCAGUGAGCUGGGAGAGCUUAAAAACUUUUUUUUUAAUUUAAAAAGUUAAGCACUAUCAUUUUCAUAGAAAAUAGCUGAGUUAGGAUCUCCUGCCUUUAUUAACACCUCAUAAAACUCACACUUAAAAGCAAAACCAAGUCUCAGUGAUAUAAUUUUUCCUGCUCAUGCUUCUUAGCAAAACAAAUAAAAUGCCUUCUAAGUAUCUUAAAAUAUUUUGCAGUUGACUGGCUUUUGGUUUGUGACAGGAUCUAAUGUAGACUAGGCUGGCCUCAAAUUGACACAAGCUGAACCUUUUCUGCAUAGGCUGCUGGGGCAAACUCAGGCCACAGCAUAUGCCACAACAGGUAACAACCCCAUUCCCACACCACUAUGUGUUUUGAUUUUCCUCACCAUUCUUUUUUUUUUUUUUGGUUCUUUUUUUCGGAGCUGGGGACCGAACCGAGGGCCUUGCGCUUCCUAGGUAAGCGCUCUACCACUGAGCUAAAUCCCCAGCCCCCUUCCUCACCAUUCUUACUGUGAAAUUAAAAGUCUCCUAAGAGAUGACUCAGAGGGUAAAGCUGAUUGAUCUCAAGCCUGAUGACCUCAGUUUAACCCCUAAGAUCCACAUGGUGGAAAGAGAACCCACUUUCACAAGCUGUUCUGAUUUCCAUAUACACAUAUAGCACAUGAAAACUCAAAAGUUGGUAAUGUAGCAGAGGGUUUGCCUAGCAAGCACAAAGUCUUAAAUUCAGUGCCUAAUACCAAACCAACAGGUCCCUAAAAUAUAGAGAAGCAAAAAAAAAUUAAAGUCCAAUACUGAUCCAUCAAUUUUACUUAGCUACUCUCAUGAUGUCAUAGCCACUAAGCCAUUCCAUUUUUAGAAAGAAACAGUCUUUGUGAAGUAAAGACUUAGACAACACCAUUAAAAUAAGGCUCCUUAUGAUUAUGAUUUGAUAACACAGUGAAGCGUCAAAAAGUUUUAAGUGAGGGAGAAAGGGGAAAGACGUCAAAGAGUCUAGCCAAGACAUGAGUUCUCUGCACCACGAAGUCUCCCCUUGUAGAGCUCAGGUUAAGGUAGACUAUGUUCUACUGACUCUCUAGUCACAUCCUUUUAGGUAUCUGCCUCUCUCAGAAUCUUUGGAAAUGGCAGCACUACAAACCCAGAGACAACUGGGGGGCUACCUACAAUCACACAUUAAGUCUUUCACCAGGUAACCAGAAAUGACAUGGGUAUAAUUUUUGCAAGAUUUUUGUUGUUGUUGUUAAACAGAGGAGCACGUGCAUGGAAAAGCUAGGUGAUACCAAACCCAAAGGUGCUCAAAUCUCCAGAAGGAUGGAGAAGCCAGAAGCAUAUGCUGAGCGUCCAUCUGUCUGUCUAGAGAGAAGCACUAGAAUAGAGAUGCUUGGGAUGAAGGGAAGCGUCCCUAGUCAAGGUCUCACAGGAUGACAUCAUAUCAUGGCUCUGUAACUAAGAUGUCUGAGACUGCCUACUUAGAAUUAUCUCUCCUUGUUUUUGAGAAAAGAUCUUAUGUAUUAGGAACUGCCCUUGAACUUCCUAUGUAGCUGAGGAUGGCCUUCAAAUUUUGGUCCUCCAGCCUCCUCCUCCAAAUGCUGAGGUGAAUGCUGCCACACCCAUUUUAUGGGGUGCUGAAAAUUCAACCCAGGGCUUUGUCAUGCUUGACAAUUAAUUGCUACUAAUUGAGCUAAAUAAAGCCCAAGCCUGAAAACCCUAAGAUAGAUGUAUGGCUUGCCCUUGAAACUUGUUCAACCAGAACUGAACAGCAGGGGACCACCAACUAGAAAGAAAACAUAAGUCAGACAGAGCUCACUGAAGAGUUAAAAUUAAAAGUAUGAAAAUGUCUUAAAACCCUGUGGCUGUGGGCUUUCGGAGGCCACUCCUACUUUCCAGUUUUAAAACCUAUGUCGACAGUGUUAUCAACAUAAAUUUAUAACCAGAUUCUUCUAAGUCAAUCAAUUAUCUAUUUAAAAAUAACACAGGGCUUAUGAAAAUUUUAUUUUAUUGGCUUUCUUUUAUGUUCCUAACUGUAGCCAUUUAGGGACUCAGUAGGUAUCUGUCUCUCAAAUUAUGAGAGUCACUGUCACAUCUCCAUGGGAAGGCCUAGUAGCUUUACAUCCUUCAGAGUUGUCUCACCAACAACCUGCAGUGAGAACCAGGAGUCAGUUACAUGUAGCUUUCUUCACCAAUCCUGACUAGAUUCUGUGGGCAGACACAGGCAUGUACUCUUCCAAAGCCAAGGAAAAAGCAAGGGUUCUUUGCAAGAUGCAGUAUCUUCCUCAAGAGACCACUAAAUCUUUCCUUCUACAAUAGCAGUGUGGAUUCCAGGAGAGAAUUGGCCUUUUCUAUGAUUUUAGCUCAAAGAAGUCAUGUAGCUAAGACUGAUCUCCUAGGGGAGUUUAGAGUCUCAGCAGUAUGGAGCCUAUAAUGCAGCAGAAAACUUGGGACAAGCUCCCUGUCACAAGGACAACUCGGUUAGAAGCAUCACAUUGGCUGGGUGUUGUAGUUCACACCUAUAAUCUCAGUACUCAGGAAGAGACAAACAAGACUAGUUCAGUCAGCCAGUGCUACAUAGUGAGACCCUGUUACAAACAACUUCACAUAAGAACCACAAAUCUAGCACGGAGUCUCAGAUAAAUGAGGUGCACAGAGUACUGUAAAGGACUUCUAAUAGUAAAUGAGGCAAAUUAUCACCAUCACCUAUGGAAAAGGCUAUGCCGCACCUAUGUGCCCUUCUCAGAAAAAUAAAGCUGUGUUCUCUACAAGUGGCUAUUAGGACAGGCUCUGAGGAGGGUCACACUCACUCCUGCAAGGGCACAGUGAGAACCUAAGAGCCAAUUCGGGGGCUAGUAGAGUCAAGCUCUGUAAACAGGAAAGAAAGCUAUUCCCUCUGAACAGGAACACCAGACUCAUAAAGUAAACAAAACAUACACAGUUCAGGAAAUAAAGGAAACAAAAUUCAGAAAGCGCCUGAAACUUAAAAUCCACCCCCCAUCCCCAUCCCCACAGGGGCUGGCAUAGAAUGUAGCUGAGGAUGAACUUGAAUUUCUGAUCCUCUUAUAAAAGCAGAAAUAAUUCUGGGGAAAACACAUUCUCCCAUAGGUCAAGCUGCCCUUUGGCUGUGCAGGAGCUUCAAGGAUUCAGACUUUGUGUAUGGUGGGCUUUUCAAGGAUGCACUGACUCUGGGUUGGUCAUGUUCCUUACGUGACCCCAAUACAUAUAAUGGUUCACUAAGACUCGGCUAGAACCAUUGCUUUGGUCUACUGUCAGUGCAUCAAAGGGGUAAAGAGAUGUUUGUUAUUGUCUCCAACUUCAUGUUAACUUGGUGGUUUCCACUUCACUGAUUUAUAAACACUGAUACAUGGUUAAGCUGCUAUCCCUUUUCCCAUACAAGUCUUGCUUUUCUUUGUCACUUUUAGCUCAGAACACCUUCCCUCGGCAGCCUGGCCUCCGACACACCCUCUCACCUGUCUGACGAUGCUCUGGAUUAAUUUGUCCAUAGUAAAGGCAAUGUAGGCAUGGAUGGUGAACAUCUCUCUCAGUGAAUCUUCAUAUUGUGAUGAGUCUAUGUUGCCAUCAAGCAGGCUCCGCACCAUGUCCAGGAAAGCUGGGUAAUAAUCUUCUACAUCCACAUCCACUACAGGAAAGAUCAGACAGAAAAAUCCUAUGGGUAUUUGCCACUAUAGCCGGAGCUUGGCCUGGGAAAUUCAAAGGUAAGUUGAAGGACUAUCAGAGUCAUUUUCUACUUUGAAUUAAGACUUUGUGGUUCUGAUCAGCUAAGGCUAAAGAGCUGGCCAUGAUUAAGAGACCAGUACUACUACUUACGGUGAAACCUUUGUGUUAUUGACACAACUAAUGCUGGUCAGCUGGAGCUGAAAAAUUAGUGGUGAUUGAUUAAGAAGAGACCAUCAACACUGAGGUGACAUCUUCUGGGAAGUGUUUCCUCAGGACCACCAGAGAAGCUGCUAGAAUGAAGUAAAACUUUUAUUUUUGCUAGAGGCACCAAGUUUGGUCUCCCGGGGAGUACUGGUUUUGAAUGCAUGAAAUCAUCAUAGAGAGCUGAAGCUUGGCACUUGGAAUGGCCAGGAGAGGACACGUGAAGGCGCAGCCAGAAAAGCAAGUGAAGCCAAGGAUUGAAGGAGUAAGAAAAGGAGCCCCGGAGACGUUAUUCGUGAAAGGGCAGCCCAGCUGUAUUAGAAAAGCCACGUAUUUUGAAGAGGAUAAUAUAGCGGUGAGACCACCAAGCAGCAAUGGGAAAGUGCACCCUGCCUAAACCUACAAGCCAAUCCGCUGCUGCAGACAUUAAAGCCAGAAACUAACCAAGCUCCUGGAGGAGGAAGAGGAGGAGGAGCCCAGAAGAUUCUAAGUGGAACUCAGGCAUUGGACAGCUAUUUGAUUUUACAGGAGCCUUUAGUAGAGAGAUUUUUGACUUCAGAUUUUUAAGACAUUGGAUUUUAAACUUUUAAAUGUAUUUAAAUUUAUGGAGACUGUAGAACUUUUAAAGUCAUUUAUGUUUUUCUAUUCCGAUACUAUUAUUACUAAUACUAAUGUUAACAGGCUAUUUUGGGGACAAAUAUAAAAGGUUCUAAAUGUGUUUGUGUGUCAAACCUGAUAGAUAGAUAGAAAGAAGAUAUAUAUCUUUAACUUACACUCCUUCAAGUUGUAAGUUUUAAAAAAGCAUAAUUCAUUGUCCAAUAGACAGCAUAACCAUCUUAUAUAAGUACAUCCACUAAUUUGUUGUCAUUUGAUUUGAGACACUGUCACAAUGUAGCCUAGGCUAGCCUCAAACUCAUAGAAAAUCGGCUACUUUUAGCCAGGACUACUUCCUGAAUACCAGGUCAGUGAAGGCUACCUGGUAAGGUAUUUUCUCCAAAACGUACACAAAGAAAAAACCCAAAACCAAACACAAAUGAAUGGGCUAAAAUAUAACCCUACCGGGCAAAAUUUACUUUUAAAAAGCCACGUCCUAACUGCCUAUGAGGAACAGCAUAGGCUUUGUGGGCAACUGCUGUCUCAAGAGUCCGAGGGCCCUACUACAGCUCCUGCUGCCUACGAGGUGUUGGAACCAGGCACUAGCACACUGUUUCUGCCUGUGGAGCAUCAGUAUGGAUGGAAAGCAAGCGCUCAGCUAUUUAGCUGAUUCUUGCAAUCCACACAGUAUUUACUGAAAUUAAAGAAACAAAACACCAACAACAAGCCAUUACUAGAGCCAAUCUGAUUCCAAAACGAAGAAAACACUGCAGGCACCCAAACAAAGGGAUCUGUCAGAGUAUGUUACUCUUUGCAGCCACAUACAUGGCACCCACCACGUACUGUUGUCUUUUUUCAUUUAACCAAAUUCUGUAGACACCUCUACUCCCUAUUUCAUAAUUCAGAAUUCCAGAGAAAUUCAACAUUAAAUACAUACAGUUUCCUUCUUAUCCUAGACACACUAAAUCAAAAAGAGCAAGCUGGGCUUCCUAACACAAAACACGAUUUCCUUUAAGACAAAGUCAACAUAAGUAGAUGUGUCAGGCAAAGAAGACAUGACAGGAGACAGACCUCUAGUCAAAGCCUCUGCUUUGCUUAUGGGCACUAUACGCACAAGAGUCGAAUUGUCCCAGAGACCACUCAUUUACUUAUGAAAUAUCAAUUUAAGAAUCUUCUUGUAACCCAAGGCAAGUUUAACACAUCAUGAGAAACAUCAGUUAAAUCUUGGUAACAGAAAACAAAACAAAACAAAACAAACAAAACAAACAAACAAACAAACAAACAAAAGCAGGAAGCUCAUAGCAAAGAAGAGAUAAUAUAAGUACAGGAACUGAAAAGCACACACUACAAUCCACAGAGCAAGUGCUUUUCUGACCGGCCUUUUGCAAAGCUACUAAUAAGCUUUGUAGGCAAUUUCUGUGACCUGUAUCAACCCAAUCUAGAUAUACAGGAUCCGUCCACCUUACAUUCUAUCUGCCUACCCACCUUCACCGGAGGUGUGGCUCCUGUCCCAGAGUGCCUGCGGAUCUGGCAGCCGUUCUGACUGGGCCUCUGUGGCUUGUUAUUUAGUUGGGGCUUCUUCACUGUGCCUCCAUGGUCAUUUCUCACAGAAUCCACCUUCUCAGCAGUUGUUUUGCUUAAAAGCUGAUGAAGACAUACGAGACAGAUUAAUAUUCUAAUCAAAGUAGCAUCUAAAAAGGUCCCUCUUGCUAUAGCUUUCAAAUUUAAGGUAAGUAAUGUAGUUUGUCUAAGUGAGAUUUACCACCGAGCUGUUGGCAUCUGGCAGGAACUGUCCAAACUCAGACAACAGAUCUUCCUGGUUUUUGAAGAGACGAGCCACCUGGGCAUACACCUCUUGUUCCGUCAAAGCUGGAGUAUAGUUUCCUCCAGCUUCCUUGGCAUUCCGCUGUUCUUUCUGAAGAA
Molecule: non-coding RNA, 11193 nt
Organism: Rattus norvegicus (Norway rat)
Lineage: Eukaryota; Metazoa; Chordata; Mammalia; Rodentia; Muridae
Source: RefSeq, a predicted model, not a curated record